RNAcentral lists this ribosomal RNA (287 nucleotides) under uncultured prokaryote. RNAcentral describes it as "partial 16S ribosomal RNA". It matches the Rfam family "Bacterial small subunit ribosomal RNA", at positions 355 to 637 of the family's 1533-position model. The record is from RNAcentral.
UCUAGAGGCUUCGUCAAUGCCCGAAAGGGUGAACGAGCGACGCCGCGUGCGGGAUGAAGGGCUUCGGCUUGUAAACCGCUUUUGUUUGGGAAGAAUGCCCGGAUCGUGAAUCCGGGAGGGACGGUACCAGACGAAUAAGCCCCGGCUAACUCCGUGCCAGCAGCCGCGGUAAGACGGAGGGGGCAAGCGUUGUUCGGAAUUAUUGGGCGUAAAGGGCGCGUAGGCGGAUUGGUAAGUCUGGCGUGAAAUCGCCACCACUUAACGGGGAGAGGUCGGUGGAAACUGGC